This 82-nucleotide transfer RNA is filed under the name Cephaloticoccus capnophilus. It matches the Rfam family "tRNA". From Rfam's summary of the family: Transfer RNA (tRNA) molecules are approximately 80 nucleotides in length. Their secondary structure includes four short double-helical elements and three loops (D, anti-codon, and T loops). Lineage: Bacteria; Pseudomonadati; Verrucomicrobiota; Opitutia; Opitutales; Opitutaceae. The record is from Rfam by way of RNAcentral.
GCUCGGGUGGUGGAAUUGGUAGACACACACGUUUGAGGGGCGUGUGCCGAAAGGCGUGCGGGUUCGAGUCCCGCCUCGAGCA